RNAcentral lists this ribosomal RNA (709 nucleotides) under uncultured fungus. RNAcentral describes it as "eukaryotic LSU rRNA". It matches the Rfam family "Eukaryotic large subunit ribosomal RNA", at positions 40 to 608 of the family's 3401-position model. Lineage: Eukaryota; Fungi. The record is from RNAcentral.
AUAUUAAUAAGCGGAGGAAAAGAAACUAACAAGGAUUCCCCUAGUAACGGCGAGUGAAGCGGGAAGAGCUCAAAGUGAAAACCGGCGCGCUUAGCGGCGUGUUCGGGUUGUAGCCUAGAGAUGCACUAUCAGCGUGCGACCCGGGUAUAAAUCUUUUGGAACAAGGUGUCAGAGAGGGUGAGAACCCCCGUCUUUUGUCCCGGAGUUCGCCGCGUACGAUGUGUACUCAUCGAGUCGAGUUGUUGGGGAUUGCAACUCUAAAUGGGUGGUAACUUUCAUCUAAAGCUAAAUACUUGCGAGAGACCGAUAGCGAACAAGUACCGUGAGGGAAAGAUGAAAAGAACUUUGAAAAGAGAGUUAAAAAGUACUUGAAAUUGUUAAGAAGGAAGUGAUGGUAACCAGUGACUGCGCUGGUGCGGAUUGCCUUGGCCGCUGGUUGCGCGGGCGGCGGGUCGGUUCCUUUUUUGGUCCGAGCCGUCGUUCGUCGUUGCUUCUGGUGCCUGGGUUCCUCCGUGCCGGAUUGCGUGUCAGCAUCGGUACGCCCCUGCGGGAGAAAGCUUGGUGGAAGGUAGGGCGGGCACAUACCUCCGCGUGUGUGUCUGCCUGCAUUAUAGACACCAGGCCUAUACCGUGAGGUGGACCGAGGAACUCAAAUUUUCUAGCGCCGGCCGUCAAGGCCUUCGGCCCCGGGUGGCCUGCUGCGUAGCAU